Molecule: small RNA, 678 nt
Filed under: Pan troglodytes (chimpanzee)
Lineage: Eukaryota; Metazoa; Chordata; Mammalia; Primates; Hominidae
Description: processed transcript
Source: RNAcentral
GGGCUGUGCUGGGGGUUCCAGGAAGACUUCCUGGAGGAGGGGAUCUUGGAGCUAGGCCUUGAAGACGAGUUUGUCAAAUGAGGAAGGGCAUCCGAAGCCGAGGGAACGGUACAAGGGAACGCUGGGGAGGGGAGAGAAUCUGGAGAGUUCCGGAAAAAGCAAAUUGUGCACGCGCCGGAGCAGCGGCGCACCAGCCCCCGGCUCCGGCGCCACCAUCUUCGCGCUAAGCUCUGGCCAAGGCCGCUGCGGCAUCGCAGUGAUCCGGACCAGCGGCCCUGCCAGCGGCCACGCCCUCCGAAUUCUCACGGCACCCCGAGACCUGCCCCUUGCUCGCCACGCCAGCCUGCGCCUGCUCAGCGAUCCCCGCUCCGGGGAGCCUCUGGACCGCGCACUGGUGCUCUGGUUCCCAGGUCCCCAGAGUUUCACCGGUGAGGACUGCGUGGAGUUCCACGUUCAUGGAGGCCCGGCAGUGGUGAGCGGCGUCCUGCAGGCCUUGGGCAGCGUGCCAGGGCUUCGACCGGCGGAGGCAGGCGAGUUCACCAGACGGGCGUUCGCCAAUGGGAAGCUGAACCUGACCGAAGUGGAGGGGCUGGCGGACCUUAUCCACGCGGAAACAGAGGCGCAGCGGCGGCAGGCCCUCAGGCAGCUGGACGGAGAGCUAGGCCACCUCUGCCGUGG